Molecule: ribosomal RNA, 305 nt
Filed under: uncultured bacterium
Lineage: Bacteria
Description: bacterial SSU rRNA
Rfam family: Bacterial small subunit ribosomal RNA
Source: RNAcentral
CCUACGGGACGCAGCAGUGGGGAAUCUUCCGCAAUGGGCGCAAGCCUGACGGAGCAAUGCCGCGUGAACGAAGAAGGUCUUCGGAUUGUAAAGUUCUGUCCUUAUCGAAGAGAGGGUAUAGAGUGAAAAAUGAUAUACUAGGACGGUAGAUGAGGAGGAAGCCCCGGCUAACUACGUGCCAGCAGCUGCGGUAAUACGUAGGGGGCGAGCGUUGUCCGGAAUCACUGGGCGUAAAGGGCGCGUAGGCGGUAAUAUAAGUCAGAUGUGAAAACUAUGGGCUCAACCCAUAGCCUGCAUUUGAAACU